CUGCUUUCCACCAAAUGGAACUUAGGAAAGCUCCAAAAAAUCCUGACUCAACCAUUUUCAAAAGGAGCAGGUCCCACCCACACCCCUGAGAAGCUACUGAUUCCUUCUAAAUACCUCUGACUGAGUUGAGUGAAAGCAUCAAUAUCCACGAAGCACUAUGCUAGAAAUGAGGACAGCAAAGUCAUGAACAGAGAUACAGUGUAAGGCUCCACUGACAUGGGCAUGCAGACCGUUUUGCUUUCCAAAGAAAACUGAAGACCAGCGCCUCUCCGGAAAUCCUUCAGACUUUCAGUAGCAGCUUGGGACUGCUGAGGCAUCCAGGUUUGUGACGAGAACCCUAAUACAGGCCUAUGAGAAAGCUACACAUUGUUUUUAACAAGAAACACAGCCCAUUUCUAACACCAUUGCCACAAAGGCACUCUUCUGAAAUCCUUCCUGAGCAAUCCUGAACUUUGAAAA
This 459-nucleotide small RNA is filed under the name Rattus norvegicus (Norway rat). RNAcentral describes it as "uncharacterized LOC102549766". The record is from RNAcentral. Lineage: Eukaryota; Metazoa; Chordata; Mammalia; Rodentia; Muridae.